RNAcentral lists this unclassified non-coding RNA (520 nucleotides) under uncultured Glomus. RNAcentral's name for it is "SSU rRNA". It matches the Rfam family "Eukaryotic small subunit ribosomal RNA", at positions 569 to 1092 of the family's 1831-position model. The record is from RNAcentral. Lineage: Eukaryota; Fungi; Glomeromycota; Glomeromycetes; Glomerales; Glomeraceae.
AGCAGCCGCGGUAAUUCCAGCUCCAAUAGCGUAUAUUAAAGUUGUUGCAGUUAAAAAGCUCGUAGUUGAAUUUCGGGAUCAAUAUAUCGGUCGUGCCUUGGUACGUACUGGUAUCAUUGGUUUCUCCUUUCUGACGAACCAUGAUGUCAUUAAUUUGGUGUUAUGGGAAGUUAGGACUGUUACUUUGAAAAAAUUAGAGUGUUUAAAGCAGGCUUUGGCUUGAAUACAUUAGCAUGGAAUAAUGAAAUAGGACGUUCGAACCUAUUUUGUUGGUUUCUAGGAUCAACGUAAUGAUUAAUAGGGAUAGUUGGGGGCAUUAGUAUUCAAUUGUCAGAGGUGAAAUUCUUGGAUUUAUUGAAGACUAACUACUGCGAAAGCAUUUGCCAAGGAUGUUUUCAUUAAUCAAGAACGAAAGUUAGGGGAUCGAAGACGAUCAGAUACCGUCGUAGUCUUAACCAUAAACUAUGCCGACUAGGGAUCGGAUGAUGUUAAUUUUUAAUGACUCAUUCGGCGCUUACGG